RNAcentral lists this ribosomal RNA (241 nucleotides) under uncultured bacterium. RNAcentral describes it as "partial 16S ribosomal RNA". It matches the Rfam family "Bacterial small subunit ribosomal RNA", at positions 15 to 254 of the family's 1533-position model. The record is from RNAcentral.
GAUCCUGGCUCAGGACGAACGCUGGCGGCGUGCCUAACACAUGCAAGUCGAACGGAGUCGGCCCCGCAAGGGACUGACUUAGUGGCGAACGGGUGAGUAACGCGUGAGCAACCUGCCUUUCAGUGGGGGACGAACAGUUGGAAACGACUGCUAAUACCGCAUAAAGCAUUUUGACCGCAUGGUCGAGAUGCCAAAGAUUUAUUGCUGAAAGAUGGGCUCGCGUCUGAUUAGAUAGUUGGUG